Molecule: unclassified non-coding RNA, 1614 nt
Filed under: Hevea brasiliensis (rubber tree)
Lineage: Eukaryota; Viridiplantae; Streptophyta; Magnoliopsida; Malpighiales; Euphorbiaceae
Source: RNAcentral
AUGCGCCAAAGCCAAAAAUCAGUGAAAAAAUAGCCAUGGAAACUCGAAUUGGCAACUCCCUUAGCCUCCUUCUACGAGACCCCAAUGACCUCAAAACUGACUUCAACUCCCUCUUCAACAAUCUCAACACUUCCCUUUUUUCCACCCCAAUUCUACAUCACAAGAACCCCAAAUCAACAAAUCAUCAUUUCAGUCCCAAUUUCAAGUUUUGUUCAACUUCUGUUUCAAUUGAAGCACAAAUCAAGAACCCCACUUCGAAUUUUCUAAAACCUGCUACUAGGGACUCCUCAAAAGUUCAGGUUCUGUUCAAGAAUCUUUCUGUUGUUGAAAGAGCGCUUAUUGGUGCAGCUGGUGGUGGCAUUGCUGGUGCAUUCACGUAUGUAUGUCUUCUUCCUCUUGACACAAUCAAAACUAAGCUUCAAACUAAAGGGGCAUCGGAAAUUUACAGUGGAGCUAUUGAUGCUUUUGUCAAGACUUUUCAAAGUAAGGGGAUUCUUGGGUUUUACAGUGGUAUUUCAGCUGUAAUUGUUGGGUCUACUGCUUCUUCUGCUGUGUAUUUUGGGACUUGUGAGUUUGGAAAGUCAAUCUUGUCGAAAUUUCCGCAAUACCCAUCUGUGCUUAUCCCACCAACAGCUGGUGCAAUGGGGAAUAUAGUAUCAUCUGCUAUAAUGGUGCCGAAGGAGUUGAUUACUCAGAGAAUGCAGGCUGGGGCUAAAGGGAGGUCUUGGCAGGUGUUAAUGAGAAUCUUGGAAAAAGAUGGAAUUUUGGGGUUGUAUGCUGGAUAUAGUGCUACAUUGUUGAGGAAUUUGCCUGCUGGGGUUUUGAGUUAUUCAUCAUUUGAGUACUUGAAAGCCGCAGUAUUGAGUAAUGUGAAGAAGGAACGUUUGGAGCCAUUUCAGAGUGUUUGUUGUGGGGCAUUGGCUGGUGCAAUAUCAGCUUCACUAACAACCCCUUUGGAUGUGGUGAAGACUAGGUUGAUGACUCAAGUUCAUUCUGAAGCUGCCAAUAAGGUUGGUGCUGUAAUGGUUACUGGCGUCUCAGCUACUGUUAGACAGAUAUUGACGGAAGAAGGCUGGGUUGGAUUUACGCGGGGAAUGGGUCCUAGAGUACUUCAUAGUGCUUGUUUUUCAGCUCUCGGGUACUUUGCAUUUGAGACGGCUAGGCUUACAAUUUUGGAUCAGUAUUUGAAGCAUAAGGAGCUAGAGACUCUGGUUCCUGAGGAGGAUGCAACCCAGGCCAACUAGAAUGUAUGAGUAAUGGUUCUUACAUCCAGCUGUUACAACCUUUUAUGCAUUGAACGAAGCAGUAGCCCUGUUCGGGACUUCUCUCUUCAGUUCCCAUGCCUGUCAUCGGCAGCAAGAAUCCUACCUUGUAAUUCCUGUAACUAGUUCAGAGACAUAGCCAUUUUACGUCAAUGAAUAGUAUACAAUAAAUAAUCAUAUCGGAAAGAGUAUCUUUCCCUAGGUAAAAGCUCAUAGUUGUGCUCCCUCCUUGGACUAAAUUUUCAUCUUUAGAAAAGCUUCCAUGCUGAUUGUAUUUAAGUCAAGAAAAAAGGCUUGUUUGUUGCUCCAAAAUACCAACAUUUUCAGUAGUUCCAUCAAUGAAGAAUUUUUG